UUUCCUUCUCCUAAAUCUUCACUUGGGGCGAGGGGGACCCGUAGAGACGCAAGUCUACCGUGCUAGUUGUUGAAGGGAUCAGUGAGAGUGGAGACUGCGGCCAUCGCACUGAAAAUCGUUCCAGAAUCCGUCUUCCCUCCCCGGUUAGUCUGGUGAUGGGGAGGCCAACAGCGAGGCUGUACAAGGGUGCUGCCGCAGCAUCUUCCGCCUAUAGCCACGUUCUGGCGGAGCCUAGGCGAAAGACUCCUGCGUGAUCCUGGCCGUUCUCAGUUCUUCACGGACUCUCUUGCCAGCAGACUAGCAGAACGUAGGGAAGUACCCUACCACUGUACUGUCUGCCGAAAACCCUUGGGAUUUGGCUGUGUUGCUAAAUGCUCAUUACAUUGAUUGAAACCAAGAUCUGAGCAAACGGCCUUCGGAAACUCUUACUAACACGCAGGGACACUGAAAAGUAAAGGCGGUCGGGAGAGGAAAGUAACCGGACUUGCGUGUCUCUCGCUUCUGUAGAACUUUCUGCAUGGUUUGGUCUGAGGACAAGCGGUGGUGGUGUAUGCCUUUAAUGCCAGCACUCUGGAGGCAGAGGCAGGAGAGUGUCUGAGUUCAAGGCCAGCCUGGUCUAGAGAGUGAGUUCCAGGACGGCGAAGGCUACACAGAGAAACCCUGUCUCGAAAAGGCAGAAAUGGUUAUGAUGAUGCUAUCAGAAAUUAUGCUGCUUGUGAAGAGAGAAAUUAAGCUCUUUUGGUCCAGUGAGGUUAUUAAAGAAUGUAAUUUUCAAAUCCUAGUAAAACUUUGAAUCUCCUGAGUGCUGAGAUUACAGGUGUCAGCAUGUCCACCUCUGCCACUGUCAACACCCGCCAUUGCCUCUUCAUGAAAUGAUGGCUGACCCAGGAUGGUUUUCCUUGCCGCAGGCUGAAAGGAACAGGGCCGGUUUGGCCGUGGAUUGAAACUUGGAACUGAGACAAGUUUUCUCUGUUUAUUCCUGGAUAUCCUGCAUUGACUUUGAGGCUGUCCUCAAACUCAGAGAAUUGCCUGCUUCUGCCUCCAGAGUACUGUGAUUAAAGGCUUGUACCACCAUGCCUGGCUGCAGUAAUUUUUUAAUACUACAGUCUUUUAAAAUGUAUUUAAAUAUAUAACUUAAAAAGAAAACUUUUUUUCUGUCUGUUCCCCUAAAAUAAAACUUUCAUGAUAAAAUGUAUCACUAACAAUUCAAGAAGAACUUUAUUGGCAUCCAUAAGCAGGCAUCUCUACAGCCAGCCCCAAGGGACCUGGUAAACCAGACAUCAGGCAUCUGUGACUCCAUCUAUGGACCACCUGCGGACCACCUGAACCCACCUGCACAUGCUCUGGGUCACCUUAUAACAGAACUCCCACCACCCACCCCCUCUCUUGCGCUACCCAGAGAAGGUCUCUGUGACCCCUUUCCUCUUCUCUUAAUAAACCUCCCACAUGGAAACAGU
This is a long non-coding RNA of Psammomys obesus (fat sand rat), 1457 nucleotides long. RefSeq lists it as uncharacterized. NCBI's taxonomy places the organism in Eukaryota, Metazoa, Chordata, Mammalia, Rodentia, Muridae. The record is from RefSeq and is a predicted model, not a curated record. The transcript has 6 exons.